CAUUUAUGUCUGAGAAAAGAACCUGCAAAGGAGGCAGGGACAGUUGACCCAUGUAAAUGACUGAGAUUUAUAAGGUUAAAUGUCGAGUGUAGAAAUAUAAGAUCCCAGAGAACAAAAAAUCGGUAGCACUAUUUAAACCAUUACAAAUUUAGAACAACAAGAUGAUUCAAAUCUUUUUACAAAAUUUAGGAAUGAUUACUAACCUUCUUUCCAGCUUCCACUUCCCCAACCUCGUUACCAACAUAUAGUACCUCUCCCA
This 259-nucleotide unclassified non-coding RNA is filed under the name Hevea brasiliensis (rubber tree). The record is from RNAcentral. Lineage: Eukaryota; Viridiplantae; Streptophyta; Magnoliopsida; Malpighiales; Euphorbiaceae.